AACGAACGCUGGCGGCAUGCCUAACACAUGCAAGUCGAACGAGACCUUCGGGUCUAGUGGCGCACGGGUGCGUAACGCGUGGGAACCUGCCCUUAGGUUCGGAAUAACUCCCCGAAAGGGGUGCUAAUACCGGAUAAUGUCUUCGGACCAAAGAUUUAUCGCCUUUGGAUGGGCCCGCGUUGGAUUAGCUAGUUGGUAGGGUAAAAGCCUACCAAGGCGACGAUCCAUAGCUGGUCUGAGAGGAUGAUCAGCCACACUGGGACUGAGACACGGCCCAGACUCCUACGGGAGGCAGCAGUGGGGAAUAUUGGACAGUGGGCAAAAGCCUGAUCCAGCAAUGCCGCGUGAGUGAUGAAGGCCUUAGGGUUGUAAAGCUCUUUUACCCGGGAUGAUAAUGACAGUACCGGGAGAAUAAGCUCCGGCUAACUCC
This 430-nucleotide ribosomal RNA is filed under the name uncultured bacterium. Its description in RNAcentral is "partial 16S ribosomal RNA". It matches the Rfam family "Bacterial small subunit ribosomal RNA", at positions 29 to 504 of the family's 1533-position model. The record is from RNAcentral.